This 453-nucleotide ribosomal RNA is filed under the name uncultured Planctomycetota bacterium. RNAcentral's name for it is "bacterial SSU rRNA". It matches the Rfam family "Bacterial small subunit ribosomal RNA", at positions 384 to 827 of the family's 1533-position model. Lineage: Bacteria; Pseudomonadati; Planctomycetota. The record is from RNAcentral.
UGACGAUGCGACGCCGCGUGGACGACGAAGGCCUUCGGGUCGUAAAGUCCUGUCAGGAGUUAGGAAAUGCGCGAUGCUACCCAAGGUGCGCGUUUGACUUCAGCUCCAGAGGAAGCCACGGCUAACUUCGUGCCAGCAGCCGCGGUAAUACGAAGGUGGCGAGCGUUGUUCGGAAUCACUGGGCAUAAAGGGCGUGUAGGCGGCCACGUGUGUCGGGUGUGAAAUCCCUCGACUCAAUCGAGGAACUGCAUUCGAAACUGCGUGGCUUGAGUUCAGAAGGGGAGAGCGGAAUUCCUGGUGGAGCGGUGAAAUGCGUAGAGAUCAGGAGGAACACCGGUGGCGAAGGCGGCUCUCUAGUCUGCAACUGACGCUGAGUGCGCGAAAGCCAGGGGAGCGAACGGGAUUAGAUACCCCGGUAGUCCUGGCUGUAAACGAUGGGCACUAAGUAGAGGG